AAUAAGAUGCCUGAUAAAAGGGCUAUUUUGAUAGAAUAGAUAAUGUAAAUUUUACUCUUAUUA
Molecule: transfer RNA, 63 nt
Filed under: Sigara septemlineata
Lineage: Eukaryota; Metazoa; Arthropoda; Insecta; Hemiptera; Corixidae
Description: tRNA-Ile
Source: RNAcentral